GGCGUCGGGCGGUUGCUAGAUGGGCCUGGACCUGUUUUAUGUUAUUUUUUAUGAUCUGUUUGGGCCUGGACUUGUUUUAUGUCAUUUUUAUGCCCUAUUUAAAGGCCAGAACGUCUUAGGGUUUGUAUCUUUUGAUGGCUUAGGCACAGAAACACACUUUUCACCCCUUUGGGGUAGAUUUGGAGAUGGUGACAGCUCUCCUUUUCUCCUUUUUAGGGUUUGUAUCUCUUUCAUUCCAAUCUUCACCUAGUUUAUCCAUGACGAUGGUAAACUAAAUCCUAUUGUUGUUGGGGAAAACAAUGUAAUCUUUUGAUACUCUCUCUUAUUGAAACUAUUGAUUAUUUAUAUGGUCUCCAUAUGUUUUGAUUGAUUAUUGUUGGGUUAUCAUUUGUGCUUAAGGCCUUUAUCGUUUAACUCAUUCGGUAUAUUGAUGUUUGUCUUUAUUGAUAUGGGGACGUACAGUAAUGACAUGAACUGGUGAGUAAUCUCUUGAUUUUGCAAUAGCACCUAGGGAUAGGGGUAGGACGAUCAAUUGCGCUAACUUCUGUUUAUAAUGCGGUAUUAAUUACUAGGGGAGGCUAGGGAUAGCAAGCCAGUAGUUAAUAUUAGGCCCUUUUCGCCGAGGGAUCGGGUUGAGGGGAGGCUAAGAAAGUCGCAUAACAAUUGAAUCAAUCAACUAAUAUUCAAGGGUAGUAUGUAAGAGAGAGUGGAAUAUAUGAAAUUGUUAGUACUCAACAACAUCCAUUCAUCCAUUGUUUUGUGUUUAACCUCAAUUGAUCAAAUUGCAUUCAUGUUUAUUUUUCUGCACUUUAUAAAAAUCCCAAAAUAUUAUUUUUAUAGUCUUGAUUGGUUAAGCAAAAGCACAACAAUUUAGUGUCGUGAGUCUCUUGGGAAAAC
Molecule: long non-coding RNA, 897 nt
Filed under: Vigna radiata
Lineage: Eukaryota; Viridiplantae; Streptophyta; Magnoliopsida; Fabales; Fabaceae
Description: long non-coding RNA (VRAD_LNC013860)
Source: RNAcentral